This 157-nucleotide non-coding RNA is filed under the name Corynebacterium pacaense. The record is from RNAcentral. Lineage: Bacteria; Bacillati; Actinomycetota; Actinomycetes; Mycobacteriales; Corynebacteriaceae.
ACUCUCGGUGCCCUGACGGGCAUAACAGAGAAUCCGGUGCGAUGCCGGAGCGGUCCCGCCACUGUAUCAGGGAGCGGAUUUCACGUGAGGUCACUGGCUACUAGCUGGGAAGACUGAAAUCCCGCGAUGAACUGGAGCCAGGAGAACUACCGAGAUG